RNAcentral lists this long non-coding RNA (3404 nucleotides) under Gallus gallus (chicken). Its description in RNAcentral is "lncRNA (ENSGALG00010020656.1)". The record is from RNAcentral. Lineage: Eukaryota; Metazoa; Chordata; Aves; Galliformes; Phasianidae.
AACAGACUUGUAACAUCACCUCAAAUCUUUCCGAAACGUAAAAACAGCGUUCAGCUGCAAAUUCAACUGUGAGUUACAGAACACAACAACUAGCACUAUAAACAGCAACAACGUGAGAGGAAGGCAUCCCCAGCCCCUUCGCCUUUAAAAUGCCAUGGAAGCAGUGGCUUUCAGCAGAACACCUUAUCUGCUCUCGAGAGCUGUGACUCUUCAUCCUUUCCUUAUGAAGACCCAGGGGAUUGCUUACUUAGCAUCCACCAGAGGCAAUGGAUAGGGUGAGCAGUCACUGCAGCCAGAAAAGCCCAGCACGGAGCAAAGGCAAUUACCUCCGCACGCAGAGACUUUGGAGCUGAAUUGUGCUGAACGGAGAACCCCUCCGGCUGGCAGAGCCAUGUGCGGCCGAGAAGAGCAGCCACUUUCGCUCCGCUGAAAAGCAAUGCAAGCUGUGCUUGCUGAACGGUCCUGUGCUGAACUAGUGCUGCUAGGGAACCCUCGUGGUGUACGGUGCUGCUGGGUGCAAUCAUUAAGGCAAUGAGCAAACGCUCUCCACUUGUUGUCCAACUUUGAAGACGGGCAGAUCUACAAGGUCCCCAGAAGCUCUGUUCCUAAAGCAGAAGUGCAAUAGUGCUCAAGGAGGAUUAAAGGACUAGGAUCGAGUACUUCCUAAAUACUGCUGCCUGCCCCUGUUCUAAACAACAGCUCAAAAAUAACAUACUUGCCUCUUCCGAGGGCUGUUCAAGAAGUAUAGGUAUGCACCCAAAAUAUAUCCAGAAGUUGAAAGAUCAGGCUCAACAUUUUGCAAAAAUAUUCCUACAGGGCAGUUUGACCUUCAGAAGAUACAGAACUGGCCCACGGUUCCUCUUUCUCUGAAGCUUUAGAAAAGAAUUCUGACAUAGGGCAUUUUGGUGGGUAGUUCAAUGCAAUGAACUUAAAAAAUAAGGCCAUGGAAGUACAACUACUGAUAAGCUCAGUGAUCAGUGACAGACUGCAAAACAGACAUCUGAUUUGCACAGAAACAUCUGGAGGGAGCUCCAAAUGCUCUGUGCUUGGUUCUGAGUCUCUGGGACUUGGCUCGUGGAAUUUUUAAUGUUCUUUUAAUCUCUUUUGAACAUAAAUAAGAGGGGAAGAGCAUGUGAACUUAACGAGUGUUUGCUUCAACAACAGCUUCAGAGACAUGUACACUUUCUGAACAUAACUUUAACAUUACAUUUCAUAUCCAUUUCACCUAGCCCUGGCAAGGCUAAGCCCCUGGGGUCCUAUUCACAAAUACUCAUGGCAGCCAGCGAGGGAAGGAUUCCAAGUCAGGAGGAACAUCAUAUCCCUGGUGUGUCAGUCAGUACUUUGUUCAGAGGGAAAGACGACGAAGCAAGACAGAAGGCUGCUGAAAACACAGAUGCUCACAUUUCUCCCACUAGAAACAGAACAAGAAUUUAUUUUCUUUUAUCAUAAAUCACAGGUUUUCUCUUAACGCUAUGCUUUAGACCUUCAGUCAGGGCUUAUGGCAGUAUAGAACCGCAUGCUCAAGUAAAUAUAAACUAUCUGGUGGAAAUGUCUUUCCUUAUUUCUCUUUCUACUGCUGCCCCAUCUGAUUGAUUUGUUGAUUACUGGAGAAUUUGCUGCAUCACACCUUUAGUUUAGUUUAAGCUAUAAACUGGCCAGAAGUAAGCUGAUGUCCCCCAUUCAAUAUUGUUUUUCUGCACUGAUAUUCAAGCCCCCAUUGUCUCUGCCAGCAUCACCAACCUAUCUAUCACUUCUUACCAAAUGACCACACCACACCAUAUGUUGCAGAAUUAUUUUGGAUUUUCACCAGCUUAGUUUAAAAAUCAGUCCUCGAUCUGAGCAUGAUCCAGCCAAGAGGAGGAAAAACUAAUAGAUAUGAUAUCAUUUUUUCUACCUUCCUUGAAGGCACUAAGUAUUUGUCACACAGAGCCUUGCCAUAUUGAUCCCUUUACCUUCACUAUGAAGAUGGAUCGUGCUGUGUGUGGGUCUGCCCGAGUCAUUUUGUGAACCUUGUGCUUCUUUAUGGGGGAAAUUGGGGAAAAUAAUAUGUCAUAUCAAUGUGGCGUAUCAAUUACACACGAUAGUGCAAAGAAAGGCCUAUAAAGGAGAGGUAUCAUGGAGUCAGAACAAAGGUGAGAUUAUACACAUUUACCAAGUGGCCCAUUUACUGUGAGGUUUCUAGAGAGGUUCAGAAAGAACUGGUAUUAGGCUGGGAAGGGAAAUCACUCCAAGCUGGCAACUUGUCAGGAAAGUAUCUGCCAUUACAUGAGGCUCAAAUAAUGACAAAUCAUAACAAAUCAUUCAAAGUCAUGAAACUCGGGAACUCCGUUCACUUCUCAUGGGCUGUGUCUGUUCACCACAUGAAAGAUGACUAACACAUUCUCUCCCAAUUCAGACUCUGUCACACCAUUACAAUGCUUGGGAUUCUCUGUGUUUGCCACGGGGAUUUUCUGGAAAGAAGCAGAUUCUCCAGUUCAGAAAACAACUGAUGCCACUUCAUAUCAUUUUUAUCAUUGAGCCACAUCUCAGAAAUGACCUUUUUAAGAGUUGUCUGAAGAAUGGGAACAGGUUGGUACUCACAUUCUAGCAAGUAGAAAGAAAAAUCUAACCCAGAAUGCUCCUAGCAUCCUACUUUGGGUCUUGAUUCCAAAUCAGCAGACAGCAAUGAGGAGACUGGAUCAGAACUCAGCAGACUUCCAUUUAAGGCAGAUAAGAAUGCUGUUAGUAAUCAACAACUACUUACAUUUGCAAAACUUAUCCUUUUGUGGAGCAAAAGAUAAAAAGGAGCACAAACAAACCUGACCUUGCAAUCACUCACCUUUGUGAGCAAUCUUCUCUUUUGCAAAUAGGCUGCCUCUCAUCAGUGCCUUUAUUUGCUUAAGUCCUUGCAGAUACAUUAAAGAUUUAUAGUAGAGCUGUUACAGGCAAUGAAGGAAGUUAUAUGUCACCCUUUUGUUUUCUAAUAGUGGUUUGAUUUAAACUAUGGGGAACAAAGGAAGUAAUAUUUUAAAACAGGAAUGAAAACAUAAUGCAGCCACAAAUAAAGUCUGGUCAUACAUGGAACUUAAGCAGAUAAAAUGACUUUUGUCAUGAAGAAACACUGUGCCUCAGUAGUAUUUCGUAUCAGUGCUUCCCAGACUAGGAUUGGUUUAAACUGUCCUUAAGACACCCUCAGAUCUCCAAAUGUAGCUGGAGCAAACCAGAAAAUGGGUAAAAUAACAAGCAUCUCUGAACAAAAUGGAAACAAACAAAACCAGUAAAUUAAGAUUUGGAAAGGAAAUGAAAGCAGCAUAUCCUCCGCAAAGUUUAUUUAAGCAGCAUUCAGUACGAAAGCUUUUAUUACCUUUAAUCUGAGAGGAAAAUAAGCAAUGGGUCACCUCAGUGGGUCCCAGAUGGAUAUACCU